Molecule: ribosomal RNA, 301 nt
Filed under: uncultured bacterium
Lineage: Bacteria
Description: partial 16S ribosomal RNA
Rfam family: Bacterial small subunit ribosomal RNA
Source: RNAcentral
CAGCCGCCGCGGUAAUACGUAGGGUGCGAGCGUUAAUCGGAAUUACUGGGCGUAAAGCGUGCGCAGGCGGUUGUGUAAGACAGGUGUGAAAUCCCCGGGCUUAACCUGGGAACUGCGCUUGUGACUGCACAGCUAGAGUAUGGCAGAGGGGGGUGGAAUUCCACGUGUAGCAGUGAAAUGCGUAGAGAUGUGGAGGAACACCGAUGGCGAAGGCAGCCCCCUGGGCCAAUACUGACGCUCAUGCACGAAAGCGUGGGGAGCAAACAGGAUUAGAGACCCCUGUAGUCCCUGUCUCUUAUAC